CGAGCGUCAUUUAAACCUUCAAGCCCUGCUUGGUGUUGGGUGUUUGUCCCGCUCCCGCGUGGACUCGCCUCAAAAGUAUUGGCAGCCGGUAGAUUGGCUUCGUGCGCAGCAGAUACGCGCGUCGAGGCCCCUCUGUCGAUUUCCAGAAGCCCCUUCUUCAGUUUGACCUCGGAUCAGGUAGGGAUACCCGCUGAACUUAA
This 200-nucleotide unclassified non-coding RNA is filed under the name soil metagenome. RNAcentral describes it as "partial contains internal transcribed spacer 2 and large subunit ribosomal RNA". The record is from RNAcentral.